Molecule: long non-coding RNA, 367 nt
Organism: Salvia miltiorrhiza (redroot sage)
Lineage: Eukaryota; Viridiplantae; Streptophyta; Magnoliopsida; Lamiales; Lamiaceae
Exons: 3
Source: RefSeq, a predicted model, not a curated record
CUACCAAACACCUCACAUCACUCUAAAACUUUCCAUAAACACUAUCUAUCCUCAUUUGAUCAAGAGAUUCCUUGAAGAAGAGCCUCAAAAUUUAGAGUGAGAAAGUGUAAACUUUGGUAAGAACUUGGGCCCGAGCGAGACGAAGAAGUAAGUUGCCUGAUUUCUUUCCAGAAUAAGCGAAGGACUUCAGGCUAAGCUGGGAGUGAGAUUGGACUGGUGCUGAUGGGGGAGAGUUUCAAAUGAUGUAAAUUAAAUUACUAUUUUGCCUCUAUGAUAAUAGAGUCUUGAUGUUUGAAUUACUUAGUUUCUUUUGAGAUCAAGCAAUACACUCACGGUUAUGUGUCUUCAUACAUAUAAUCGGUUCGCC